AUAUGAGUGAGUGAUGGG
RNAcentral lists this non-coding RNA (18 nucleotides) under Rattus norvegicus (Norway rat). The record is from RNAcentral. Lineage: Eukaryota; Metazoa; Chordata; Mammalia; Rodentia; Muridae.